Long non-coding RNA from Belonocnema kinseyi, 280 nucleotides. RefSeq lists it as uncharacterized. The record is from RefSeq and is a predicted model, not a curated record. Lineage: Eukaryota; Metazoa; Arthropoda; Insecta; Hymenoptera; Cynipidae. The transcript has 2 exons.
UGACUUAAACGACUGACACUCAAUUCUCGAGAAAAAAAAUGAAAUUCGCAAUUAUAUUCUUUUUUAUUUUUCUGGCUGUGGCUCUUCUAAAUGAAGCUAAAGUCGUUCUCAAUUGCAAAGAGCCCCCCUGUGCCAGCGGGUGUCGAAGUAAUGAUACGUGUCACUAUCCUUAACCCCUGCUGUGAUGGAGCGAGGACAAAUGCAAAUUCUUUUACAAAUUAAGCUGUUGGAUUUACAAAUAUAAAAUAAAAUGUACUUGAUAUAUUUUGACUUCUAAAAA